UGAUAAUUAUAUUCUAUCUAAAUAUUAAAAUUAUCACAACUGUGGUAAAUUUUACGACUGGAUCUCUAAGAGCUGAAUCUCAAUUUUAUAUUUAAAGAAAUCUCCCCAAUAAUGGUCAGUAUAAGUAGACUUGAAUAAAUUAUUCCAGGGUGGUCUGCUGCACUACUCUAGUGACGUCCAUGAUUGAAAACAUGAAUUCUGGAAUUCGAUAAUGCCGAAUGGUGCACACCCAAAUUCAAAGAUCGACAAAUUCACAGCACUGUAAGUCCGGUAAUAAAUUCAGCCAAAUUACAACGGGAUGGUCGAGUGAUGAAAGAUAACCCUAAACAGGAUAAAACACUUCCGAUUCUUGAAAAUCAGGCCCGAACUCGAACCCGGAUCCCUCAGAUGGACAAGUACGCACAUGGCUGCCUCCAUUAGCCAGUCGUCAUCUCUCCCAAAAGGAACUAAGACCUUUUAAUCAAGCUCAUCAUGAAUUUGACCAGGACCACAAUGGGAUAGCCAAGUGGUGAAUGGAACCUGAUAUAUCACCCUAAAAAAUUCAAGGUUUUUUGACUCAUCCAGAUUUGUUCCUGGGUCCUCCAGAGCAGGAAACUGACAAAGUGAUAGUCAUGUGACCAUGUGGUUAUCAGUAUUAUAUGUAGAGUUGAUGAGAGGAAGAGAAAGCAAGAAUUUGUUUUGAAAAUUAACAAUGCAAUUUUUAUCAGUAUUCUAUUUUCUUUUGUGAUAUCAAAUUUUUUUCUUUAUUUUCCAUUACAUUAAUUAAUUAUUUUCACGUUUUCAAAUUAAAGAUGUAGAGUCUAGCUGCAAUAUGUAUAUUUUUUAUUAUGAAGUCUAGAAAACUAUUUUAUGUAAUUUCAUAUACAUGAAGAAAAAUGUAAUAAACUGGGAAUAUCACAUCAAAAGAGGGAACAGAAUCCAGAAGUUCCUAAUCCCAGAGCCCUGAUUUUGUAAUCAUACAUCUAUGGAAUGUAUAUCCAUAUUAGUGAAGUUAUUAUAAAAAGACAAGUGAUUUAUCUAUAUCAGACAGAUUCCUUAGUUUCUUGGAUGGGGCUGAUGAAUUUUCUCACUAUACAUUAUUUCUAAAUUAAAUUUUCAAAUAUUAAAAUCAGUCAAUUUGCUGAACUGAAAUCUAAAACAGAAGUAUUUGAUUUUAUUUUCUAAACAUGUAAAUUAUGA
Centruroides sculpturatus (bark scorpion) is the source of this 1179-nucleotide long non-coding RNA. RefSeq lists it as uncharacterized. The transcript is spliced from 3 exons. The record is from RefSeq and is a predicted model, not a curated record. Lineage: Eukaryota; Metazoa; Arthropoda; Arachnida; Scorpiones; Buthidae.